This 478-nucleotide ribosomal RNA is filed under the name uncultured bacterium. RNAcentral describes it as "partial 16S ribosomal RNA". It matches the Rfam family "Bacterial small subunit ribosomal RNA", at positions 28 to 507 of the family's 1533-position model. The record is from RNAcentral.
GAUGAACGCUGGCGGCGCGCUUAACACAUGCAAGUCGAACGGGAAUUAUUUUAUUGAAACUUCGGUCGAUUUAAUUUAAUUCUAGUGGCGGACGGGUGAGUAACGCGUGGGUAACCUGCCUUAUACAGGGGGAUAACAGUCAGAAAUGGCUGCUAAUACCGCAUAAGCGCACAGAGCUGCAUGGCUCAGUGUGAAAAACUCCGGUGGUAUAAGAUGGACCCGCGUUGGAUUAGCUGGUUGGUGGGGUAACGGCCCACCAAGGCGACGAUCCAUAGCCGGCCUGAGAGGGUGAACGGCCACAUUGGGACUGAGACACGGCCCAGACUCCUACGGGAGGCAGCAGUGGGGAAUAUUGCACAAUGGGGGAAACCCUGAUGCAGCGACGCCGCGUGAAGGAAGAAGUAUCUCGGUAUGUAAACUUCUAUCAGCAGGGAAGAUAGUGACGGUACCUGACUAAGAAGCCCCGGCUAACUACGUG